UACAGAGGGGGCAAGCGUUGUUCGGAAUUACUGGGCGUAAAGCGUGCGUAGACGGUUAUUUAAGUCGGGUGUGAAAGCCCCGGGCUCAACCUGGGAAUUGCAUUCGAGACUGAAUAGCUGGGGUACGGUAGAGGGAAGUGGAAUUUCCGGUGUAGCGGUGAAAUGCGUAGAUAUCGGAAGGAACAUCAGUGGCGAAGGCGACUACCUGGCCUGUUCUUGACGCUGAGGCGCGAAAGCUAGGGGAGCAAACGGG
Molecule: ribosomal RNA, 253 nt
Filed under: uncultured bacterium
Lineage: Bacteria
Description: partial 16S ribosomal RNA
Rfam family: Bacterial small subunit ribosomal RNA
Source: RNAcentral